GCAAAAUGUAUCUACGGAGGGAAAGUCCUUGCAGAAGGCCAGCGGAUUUUAACCAAGAGCUGUCGGGAAUGCCGAGGUGGAGUUUUAGUGAAAAUUACAGAAGCGUGCCCUCCUUUGAACUGCUCAGACAAGGAUCACAUUCUCCCAGAGAAUCAGUGCUGCAGCGUCUGCAGAGGUCAUAACUUUUGUGCGGAAGGACCUAAAUGUGGUGAAAAUUCAGAGUGCAAAAACUGGAAUACAAAAGCUACUUGCGAGUGCAAGAAUGGUUAUAUCUCUGUCCAGGGGGACUCCGCCUACUGUG
This is a non-coding RNA of Equus caballus (horse), 301 nucleotides long. NCBI's taxonomy places the organism in Eukaryota, Metazoa, Chordata, Mammalia, Perissodactyla, Equidae. The record is from RefSeq and is a predicted model, not a curated record.